Molecule: ribosomal RNA, 216 nt
Filed under: Campeiostachys nutans
Lineage: Eukaryota; Viridiplantae; Streptophyta; Magnoliopsida; Poales; Poaceae
Description: Elymus nutans partial small subunit ribosomal RNA
Rfam family: Eukaryotic small subunit ribosomal RNA
Source: RNAcentral
GGAUCAGUACGCUGGUCGUGCCUUUGGUAUGUACUGGUGUCACUGAUUCCUCCCUUCUGAAGAACCGUUAUGCCAUUUAUUUGGUGUUGCGGGGAAUUUGGACUGUUACUUUGAAAAAAUUAGAGUGUUUAAAGCAAGCUAACGCUUGAAUACAUUAGCAUGGAAUAAUGAAAUAGGACGUUCGAUCCUAUUUUAUUGGUUUCUAGGAUUGACGUA